RNAcentral lists this ribosomal RNA (517 nucleotides) under uncultured bacterium. RNAcentral's name for it is "bacterial SSU rRNA". It matches the Rfam family "Bacterial small subunit ribosomal RNA", at positions 29 to 518 of the family's 1533-position model. The record is from RNAcentral.
ACGAACGCUGGCGGCGUGCCUAAUACAUGCAAGUCGAACGGUCUUUCUAUGGAAGCUUGCUUCCACUGAGAAGAUAGUGGCGGACGGGUGAGUAACACGUGGGUAACCUGCCCAUAAGAGGGGGGAUAACAUCCGGAAACGGGUGCUAAUACCGCAUAGUUUUCUUGAUCGCAUGAUUGAGAAAGGAAAGACGGCCUUUGUGCUGUCGCUUAUGGAUGGACCCGCGGCGUAUUAGUUAGUUGGUGAGGUAAUGGCUCACCAAGACGAUGAUACGUAGCCGACCUGAGAGGGUGAUCGGCCACAUUGGGACUGAGACACGGCCCAAACUCCUACGGGAGGCAGCAGUAGGGAAUCUUCCGCAAUGGACGAAAGUCUGACGGAGCAACGCCGCGUGAGUGAAGAAAGGUUUUCGGAUCGUAAAACUCUGUUGUCAGAGAAGAACAAGUUGGAGAGUAACUGCUCCAGCCUUGACGGUAUCUGACCAGAAAGCCACGGCUAACUACGUGCCAGCCGCCGC